RNAcentral lists this ribosomal RNA (486 nucleotides) under uncultured bacterium. Its description in RNAcentral is "partial 16S ribosomal RNA". It matches the Rfam family "Bacterial small subunit ribosomal RNA", at positions 28 to 507 of the family's 1533-position model. The record is from RNAcentral.
GAUGAACGCUGGCGGCGUGCCUAAUACAUGCAAGUCGAACGCUGGAAAUCUAGCUUGCUAGAUUGAAGGAGUGGCGAACGGGUGAGUAAUACAUAAGCAACCUACCCACGAAGACUGGGAUAAUCUCUGGAAACGGGGACUAAUACCGGAUAGGUAAUCGGAAGGCAUCUUCUGAUUAUUAAAGGUUAAAAACACUGGUGGAUGGGCUUAUGGCGCAUUAGUUAGUUGGUGAGGUAACGGCCCACCAAGACGAUGAUGCGUAGCCGGCCUGAGAGGGUGAACGGCCACAUUGGGACUGCGACACGGCCCAGACUCCUACGGGAGGCAGCAGUAGGGAAUUUUCGGCAAUGGGGGAAAACCUGACCGAGCAACGCCGAGUGAGUGAUGACGGCCUUCGGGUUGUAAAGCUCUGUUGUAAGGGAAGAACGGUAGAUAGAGAAUAUCUAAAUGACGGUACCUUACCAGAAAGCCACGGCUAACUACGUG